Molecule: long non-coding RNA, 410 nt
Filed under: Vigna radiata
Lineage: Eukaryota; Viridiplantae; Streptophyta; Magnoliopsida; Fabales; Fabaceae
Description: long non-coding RNA (VRAD_LNC013286)
Source: RNAcentral
GGAUGAAGUAGGGAGGAAGGGCAGGCAGCCAUAUUCGAAAAAGGCAAAGCCCUUAACAUGUGGGUCCCGCCGUCAUUAAAAUAAAAGUAAUAUCAUCAUCACUGUGUGGCCAUAAAGAGCUAUACGACACACAUGAAGGCAGUACAGUGGUGAGCCAAUGAGACGCCGACAACGCAUCCUCCAUAAACUACUUCUCCUUUCCCAAACCAGAAACCAAAAACCACUUGUCACCAAACCCCAGCUUCAGAUAUUUUUUCACCACUUCCAUUUUGGUUCUCACCUUUUAUGGUUACCAUAACAUUGCACACUUCCGCUCACUGUGCUUUCCCAUGACACCACUCUAUUCCUGUCCAGAAGAAGAAACAUCCAUGAACUAACAUUCCCACCCUCGCUUCACCAUUUUUGCCACC